Oncorhynchus masou masou (cherry salmon) is the source of this 338-nucleotide long non-coding RNA. RefSeq lists it as uncharacterized. The record is from RefSeq and is a predicted model, not a curated record. NCBI's taxonomy places the organism in Eukaryota, Metazoa, Chordata, Actinopteri, Salmoniformes, Salmonidae. The transcript has 5 exons.
CCCAAAUCCCGUGUGGCACCUUUAAAAUCGGAGGAUUAGAUGGUGACAGGGGUCUCGGCAGGGUCAGGCAGCCAGGGAAGACCAGUCUGUGACGGAGAGCGAAGUCAGUGACACCAUAGAGAGAAGGAGAUGGAUGCCCGUUGACCAUGGCUUCCCAUCCAGGGGGGAAAUAAAAAUGAAUCCCUGCCCAGAGGCUUCCCACCUCAACCCAGUUCCUGUUUCCUAGUUUUGACCAUUCUCCCUGCCCUGAGCCUGCCAGCCGUUCUGUACCUUGUCACACCACCCUGGACUACUGACCUCUGUCUGCCCUUGACCUGUAGUUUGCCUGCCCCACUGUU